Cydia splendana is the source of this 440-nucleotide long non-coding RNA. RefSeq lists it as uncharacterized. The transcript has 2 exons. The record is from RefSeq and is a predicted model, not a curated record. Lineage: Eukaryota; Metazoa; Arthropoda; Insecta; Lepidoptera; Tortricidae.
AUUUCCUCGUAUUACCGGAACGGAAUACAUUGUUAAAAUUUGUCAGGUUAUUGAAACGUAAGUUGGAAAAUAUUGCAACUACCAACAGAGACAUUUGUUAAAAAUGUCGGCCAAUGUCGAUUUUUUAAGGUUCCUAAUGUAGUUUAAUUGAAUUCCUAAAGCAAUUCGGAAAGAUACUGAACCACGGUUAUAAACCUAUUAAUUGUACUUUCAGUGUGACUAUUUAUUAAAGAUUGAAUCUAAAUUGGUUUAACAUGGGACAAAUAUCUUUCUGAAAAAUUCCUAUUUAUGAUUAAUUUAAUAGAAAAUCAGAAGACUCACAAUAAUGAAUUGAAUAGGUAGCUCAUACAAAGUGUGAAUUGAAGUGUCAGUUUUUGUGCAAUUGUAUGAAGUGUAUGAUAGACUUUUGGGAAUAGAAAAAUAAAACAGUUUUAAUCACA